Molecule: non-coding RNA, 99 nt
Organism: Mycena polygramma
Lineage: Eukaryota; Fungi; Basidiomycota; Agaricomycetes; Agaricales; Mycenaceae
Source: the annotation of a GenBank genome assembly
CACCUGAUAGCACAUCAUCGGCGUGCGCCUGUUAAUAAUGUGGCAGGUUUUAAAAGCCUUUGACGGCAGGAGGUCCCCGUUCGAUUCGGGGUCGGGUGA